GCUUACCAUGCAGUCGAACGGUUGUAGCAAUACAGCAGUGGCGCACGGGUGAGUAACGCGUGGCUAUCUGCCUUUUGGUUCGGAAUAACUCCGGGAAACUGGAGCUAAUACCGGAUGGUUCCUACGGGAUAAAGAUUUAUCGCCAAAAGAUGAGUCCGCGUACGAUUAGCUAGUUGGUGAGGUAAUGGCUCACCAAGGCGACGAUCGUUAGCUGGUCUGAGAGGACGAUCAGCCACACUGGGACUGAGACACGGCCCAGACUCCUACGGGAGGCAGCAGUGGGGAAUAUUGGACAAUGGGGGCAACCCUGAUCCAGCCAUGCCGCGUGAGUGAUGAAGGCCUUCGGGUUGUAAAGCUCUUUUGGCGGGGACGAUGAUGACGGUACCCGCAGAAUAAGCCCCGGCUAACUUCGUGCCAGCAGCCGCGGUAAGACGAAGGGGGCUAGCGUUGUUCGGAAUUACUGGGCGUAAAGCGAGUGUAGGUGGUUGUCAUAGUCAGGUGUGAAAGCCUUGAGCUCAACUCAAGAAAUGCACUUGAUACUGGGCGACUAGAGGACCGGAGAGGAUAGUGGAAUU
Molecule: ribosomal RNA, 575 nt
Filed under: uncultured bacterium
Lineage: Bacteria
Description: bacterial SSU rRNA
Rfam family: Bacterial small subunit ribosomal RNA
Source: RNAcentral